This 353-nucleotide ribosomal RNA is filed under the name uncultured bacterium. Its description in RNAcentral is "bacterial SSU rRNA". It matches the Rfam family "Bacterial small subunit ribosomal RNA", at positions 917 to 1267 of the family's 1533-position model. The record is from RNAcentral.
GGACCCGCACAAGUAGUGGAGCAUGUGGUUUAAUUCGAAGAUACGCGCAGAACCUUACCAACACUUGACAUGUUCGUCGCGACUCUAAGAGAUUAGAGUUUUCGGUUCGGCCGGACGAAACACAGGUGCUGCAUGGCUGUCGUCAGCUCGUGUCGUGAGAUGUUGGGUUAAGUCCCGCAACGAGCGCAACCCUCACUUUUAGUUGCCAUCAUUUAGUUGGGCACUCUGAAAGAACUGCCAGUGAUAAGCUGGAGGAAGGUGGGGAUGACGUCAAGUCCUCAUGGCCCUUACGUGUUGGGCUACACACGUGCUACAAUGGACGGUACAAAGGGUCGCGAAGCCGCGAGGUGGAG